Long non-coding RNA from Candoia aspera, 202 nucleotides. RefSeq lists it as uncharacterized. Lineage: Eukaryota; Metazoa; Chordata; Lepidosauria; Squamata; Candoiidae. The record is from RefSeq and is a predicted model, not a curated record. The transcript has 2 exons.
GGGUGCCCGCGGGGCCGGCGGGGGAGCCCCGUGCAAAAAACUGGAUGACUUGAGUGUGGAUGAGUUUUUAACCUCUGGAUUUGAUUCCGAUGAGGAUUCGGUGGAAGAUGCUCCAAAUUUUGGGGAAGAUGAGGGUAGAAAGCCGCCUUCAAAGGUUGACAGCAAAAAGAAACCAGGGUGCAAUUUGAUACCAGUGAAAAGG